This 711-nucleotide long non-coding RNA is filed under the name Pogona vitticeps (central bearded dragon). RNAcentral describes it as "lncRNA (ENSPVIG00000003164.1)". Lineage: Eukaryota; Metazoa; Chordata; Lepidosauria; Squamata; Agamidae. The record is from RNAcentral.
CACCUCCUGCAGGCUCUCCUGGAUUGGCUCACCUCCUGCAUUCUCCUAGCCAUUUACCUUAUUUCUGCUGUUGCUAGGCCAUAUUGGUUAAGAUUCCAUCACAAUUGCCUUGAUGUGGUAGAGGGCAAGUUUCCACUGUCUCUGUGUUCCAUGUCCCUACAUCCACCAGCUCAUCUAGCUAGGUCUUGGUAAUUUAAUAUAUGCUGAUUUCCUUAGUCAAAGUAGAUCCUCUAAAGGAGAAUGCACUUCACUGCUUCUCUGGAUACAUCAUGUCUAAGGGAAGGAACAAUGAUCUUAACAGAAGGCCCAUUAGCAAUAUUUGUCUUCCACCCCAAUCCCGAACAAAACAUAAGAGGAGAACUCCUGCUUACAGUAUCUGCAUCUUGUCAUACUAUCAAGCCCUUUCUUGUGAGCAGAGCCCCCAAGGGGGGUGGAAGGGCCAAGCCUCUGGUUUGAGUAAUGGAGCAGGUACCCAUUCAGAUGAGGAAGCAGGGCAGGAAAGCCUGCAGUGCUGUUGGUGAGUGAUUGAUUGCUCGGAGAAGAUGGGGGAGGGAAGUGCCCGGCACCUGCAGAACACUUGUGUGAACCACACCAAACUGAGCCGAAGCACUGAAGUCCUUUCCCAUCUCUAGUACAAGGCCAGACAAGAUCAGUAGCAUAAGAUGAAUUGAAGCCUAUGGACUAGCAUAUCUGCAGUAUACUUUUAAAAUA